UGCAGUUUUAAAACUGUGCCAUAGGCCA
RNAcentral lists this non-coding RNA (28 nucleotides) under Homo sapiens (human). Lineage: Eukaryota; Metazoa; Chordata; Mammalia; Primates; Hominidae. The record is from RNAcentral.